CAGCACCCCAAAAGCUGCCGGGGGCCCCACAGCCCCCACAACCAUCCCCUGGGCGGGCAGGGGCACCCGGACGCCUGGGCCCCUGCGGGUGGGGGGUGCCUGGACGCCUGGGCCCCGGGGGUUGGCGUGACGCGGCGGGUCGGUGUUGGGGGGGGGCCUGCCCGGACGCCUGGGCCCGCUGACGGAGCCCCCGCAGCUGUUCGUGGAGCUGGUGGUGAAGAACCCGCUGUGCCCCCCCCGGGAGCCGGUGCAGAGCGAGCUUUUCCGCAGCCGCCUCGACGCCUUCGUGUGGGCUCGGCCUUUCUCCACCUGCGCCGGGUGACGGGGGGGUGCCAGGGACCCCCCCUUGGGGACAUGGGGACCCCCCCGGAGCAUGAGGACCCCUCCGGGAUGUGGGGAUGUCCUGGACCCCCCAGGGAUGCGGGGCCCCCCCAAAGUUUUGGGGACCCCCCCAGGGACAUGGAGACCCCUCGACCCCCACAUGGCACAUGGGGAUGUCCUGGACCCCCCCAGGGACACGGGGACACCCCCAGGAUCUUGGGGACCCCCCUCUUGGGGACAUGGGGACCCCUUGACCCCCCGGGGACACCCCCAGGGCCUUGGGGACCCCCCCCUUGGGGACACGGGGACCCCUUGACCCCCCGGGGAUGUGGGGACCCCCCCAGGGACACGGGGACACCCCCAGGGUCUUGGGGACCCCGCUCUUGGGGACACGGGGACCCCUUCACCCCCCGGGGAUGUGGGGACCCCCCCGGGACACAGGCACCCCCGCCUUAGGGACAUGGGGACCCCUUGACCCCCCCCCCAGAGCCUUGGGGACACCCCCCUUGGGGACACGGGGACACCCCAAGGCUACCAGGGACCCCUUGCCCCCCCCAGGAUUUGGGGGCCACCCUGGGGAUAUGGGGACCCCUCAGCCCCCCCCAGGGGCAUUGGGGACCACCCCGUUCCCCCCCCCAGACACCUGGGUCCCUGAGGGGGAGCGGGGGGGGUCCCGCUGCCCGGAGGGGCCCAGGCAUCCGGGGCUGGGUUUGGGGGCAAUAAACGUGUGUCAGUGACUGUGCGGAGCCUGUGC
This 1075-nucleotide long non-coding RNA is filed under the name Dromaius novaehollandiae (emu). RNAcentral's name for it is "lncRNA (ENSDNVG00000012756.1)". Lineage: Eukaryota; Metazoa; Chordata; Aves; Casuariiformes; Dromaiidae. The record is from RNAcentral.